CAAUAGCGUAUAUUUAAGUUGUUGCAGUUAAAAAGCUCGUAGUUGGAUUUCGGAUGGGAUUUGCCGGUCCGUCGUUACGAUGUGCACUGGCCAGUCCUAUCUUGUUGUCGGGGACUAGCUCCUUGGAUUCACUUCCUGGGACUAGGAGCUGACGAGGUUACUUUGAGUAAAUUAGAGUGUUCAAAGCAAGCCUACGCUCUGAAUACAUUAGCAUGGAAUAACACGAUAGGACUCUGGCUUAUCUUGUUGGUCUGUGAGACCAGAGUAAUGAUUAAGAGGGACAGUCGGGGACAUUCGUAUUUCAUUGUCAGAGGUGAAAUUCUUGGAUUUAUGAAAGACGAACUUCUGCGAAAGCAUUUGUCAAGGAUGUUUNCAUUAA
This 379-nucleotide ribosomal RNA is filed under the name uncultured eukaryote. RNAcentral describes it as "partial 18S ribosomal RNA". It matches the Rfam family "Eukaryotic small subunit ribosomal RNA", at positions 592 to 976 of the family's 1831-position model. The record is from RNAcentral.